This 834-nucleotide ribosomal RNA is filed under the name uncultured bacterium. RNAcentral describes it as "bacterial SSU rRNA". It matches the Rfam family "Bacterial small subunit ribosomal RNA", at positions 667 to 1504 of the family's 1533-position model. The record is from RNAcentral.
UUUCUGGUGUAGGGGUAAAAUCCGUAGAGAUCAGAAGGAAUACCGAUUGCGAAGGCGAUCUACUGGAACAUUAUUGACGCUGAGACGCGAAAGCGUGGGGAGCAAACAGGAUUAGAUACCCUGGUAGUCCACGCCCUAAACGAUGUACACUAGUUGUUGUGAGGCUCGACCUUGCAGUAAUGCAGUUAACACAUUAAGUGUACCGCCUGGGGAGUACGGUCGCAAGAUUAAAACUCAAAGGAAUAGACGGGGACCCGCACAAGCGGUGGAGCAUGUGGUUUAAUUCGACGAUACACGAAGAACCUUACCUGGACUUGACAUAGUAAGAACUUUCUAGAGAUAGAUUGGUGUCUGCUUGCAGAAACUUAUAUACAGGUGCUGCACGGCUGUCGUCAGCUCGUGUCGUGAGAUGUUGGGUUAAGUCCCGCAACGAGCGCAACCCUCGUCCUUAGUUGCUAACAGUUCGGCUGAGAACUCUGAACAGACUGCCUUCGCAAGGAGGAGGAAGGUGAGGACGACGUCAAGUCAUCAUGGCCCUUAUGGCCAGGGCUACACACGUGCUACAAUGGCUAGGACAAAGAGAUGCGAUACCGCGAGGUGGAGCAAAUCUUAAAACCUAGUCUCAGUUCGGAUUGGAGUCUGCAACUCGACUCCAUGAAGCUGGAAUCGCUAGUAAUCGUAGAUCAGAUAUGCUGCGGUGAAUACGUUCCCGGGUCUUGUACUCACCGCCCGUCACACCAUGGGAGUUGAAUUCACCCGAAGCCGGAAUACUAGAAUAGUUACCGACCACGGUGGGUUCAGCGACUGGGGUGAAGUCGUAACAAGGUAGCCGUA